This is a non-coding RNA of Styela clava, 2085 nucleotides long. Lineage: Eukaryota; Metazoa; Chordata; Ascidiacea; Stolidobranchia; Styelidae. The record is from RefSeq and is a predicted model, not a curated record.
UUUGUUUACUCUUUCAAUAGACUUCUGAUAAAUCUCGUUCAUCAGCAUCAAGAGAUAACGAUGGGUUUGAAAUGGUUACUGGAAAUACGAGACGAGGGAAGAAAAAAGUGAAAAAAUCACAAAAAGUUGAUCCAAGUAUUUUAGGUUUUUCUGUGAAUGCUGCUUCUGACAGAGUGAAUAUGGGUGAAAUACAGACAGCCGAUGACUGAGCAUGGUUGCCUGAAAUCUUUUUAACUCAGGAUAAUAAUACUGUAUAUUAUUUACUUACAUUUACCUUCUCUUUUAUCGAUAAUAUUUUGAAUUUUAUUUUGAAGUGGCAAGGUUGCUUUGCAUCCCUACACCUAUCUUAUCUUAUUACUAGUAGCUUGUUCCUAAAUACAAAAAGUUAGAUCUCAAAAGUUUUAUCAAUUGUUAAAUUUCGUGACUAGUUUUAGUAAUAUUUAGAUAGGAUGUAUAAAUUUGUUCGAGCUCAAAAAUGCCCAAGUCACUACAUUUUCGGCUCUUGCGCUUGUUUUUAAUUGGGUAGAGGUAUGAAUGAAAAUUCUUUCAGUUAUUUGUGAAGUAUGCAUAUCCAAAGAAUUCAGUCAACAAAAUUCACACUGUAUCAAAUAGUGUGCCUUGAGAAUUUGUGUAACUUUUUUCCAAGCUGUACAGUUUUGAAAAAAAAAUUUCAAGAAAGCGUAAUUUAUUAAGGAUUCAAAUAACUGUUUAUUUUAUUCAAAUUGAAAUUGGCCUUACGAUCCUUCAUGAUUUUUUGCACUACGAUGUCAUUUGGGAUACUCAAAACUUGAAAGAGUUAAAGAACAAUCUCUUUUUUUAAACCACUGCUCUACCAUAUUUGAUUACAGGGAAGCUUUUCAUUUUAUAUAAAUGUAUGUUUCGGAGUGAAGUAGAUCAUUUCAAUAUCUCAGUCAUUCCUAGCAAUAAUAUAAAUGACGAGCUAAUAGUAUCUAAUAGACCUAGUCCGAAUAAUUUUACAUUUGAAAUAUUUGAAUUUAUAGCAAUUUAAUAUUCAAACUAAUUUAAUUUUGAAGGUUUUUGCUUGUAAAUUUUGAUUAGUCUUUUUGCAUUUUGCAUUACCCCCUUGCAACUAGAUCUCAAAUGAAUGCAAGACUUCUUGCAAAUAUAUGAACCAUACAGGCAUAUUGUGAUUUGGGUAAAAUCUCUUUAAAUUUUUUAAUGUCAACUAAGCUUAUCUUGGUGUUUGGACUUACGAAAUUGUUUAAAAGUCUAGGAUGGUUGGGAAAAGGUUCUUGCACGAACCACCUCUACCUCCACUGUUUUCAGUGAAGUAAUCUUUCUCGAUUGCUUGAAUUGAAUUUUAGUAUUUCGGAGAUACAAAUAUUUAAUGCUAUCAAUAUGUAAUAUGAAGGGCAUAAAUUUUCAAGCUUGAACAUCUCUAUUGAGUGGGCCGUACUGUUCUUUUGAUUUCUCUCACCUUUUUUGAAGGUGAUUUAUUGUUUCACUGUUUUUUCAUUAUCAAGUUUUCAUUGUUCUGCUCUAGAGAUAAGAGUAGUCAUAUUUCAAGAUUCAAAUAUUAAAAAUAUAACUGGUUUCUAGAAUAUCAAAGUCCAAAUAUGUAUUCUUCUAACUCAUCUUAGCUAUAAAAAGCAAAGAAUUUGGAUAGUAUUCUCUUCUAGUUGUAUAGUAAGCUCAUUCAUAAAAAAUGGUUUGUUCAUAUAUCGCUUUUGACCGACUUAUAUUUGUAUAAGGUAUUAUUUGUAAAAAGAAUUUUCUUAACCUGCCCUGUAUUAGAAGACACCAGCAUUGAGUUCUUAUAUAUGUAUAAUGAAUGAUCAGUUGAAGAGUCAAAAACUUUAAAAUUUGCAUUUAACAGAAUUAUCUAACAGAAACGUCCCUUAGUCACCGAAGUUUAUGUAUUUCAAAAUGCGCCUUAUUUUAUUUCUGUUUUUGCUAUUGUCGAAUUUUUCCUAGCGCUAUUUAUUGCUAUUAAAAUUGUCCUAUUUAUUUUCAUUAAAUGAAUAUUUCUUUUCUUAAAAACUAAGUUUUUGCUUCGUGGUAUCUUCUGAUUUUGCGAAAUUAAAACAAGGUGGUGUAUGGUUUCAUAAAAUACCCCGAUUUGCU